Molecule: ribosomal RNA, 433 nt
Filed under: uncultured bacterium
Lineage: Bacteria
Description: partial 16S ribosomal RNA
Rfam family: Bacterial small subunit ribosomal RNA
Source: RNAcentral
AGCGAACGCUGGCGGCAGGCCUAACACAUGCAAGUCGAACGAACUCUUCGGAGUUAGUGGCGGACGGGUGAGUAACACGUUGGAACGUGCCUUUUGGUUCGGAAUAACUCAGGGAAACUUGUGCUAAUACCGAAUGUGCCCUUCGGGGGAAAGAUUUAUCGCCAUUAGAGCGGCCCGCGUCUGAUUAGCUAGUUGGUGAGGUAACGGCUCACCAAGGCGACGAUCAGUAGCUGGUCUGAGAGGAUGACCAGCCACACUGGGACUGAGACACGGCCCAGACUCCUACGGAAGGCAGCAGUGGGGAAUCUUGCGCAAUGGGCGAAAGCCUGACGCAGCCAUGCCGCGUGAAUGAUGAAGGUCUUAGGAUUGUAAAAUUCUUUCACCGGGGACGAUAAUGACGGUACCCGGAGAAGAAGCCCCGGCUAACUUCGUG